UACGUAGGGUGCAAGCGUUGUCCGGAAUUAUUGGGCGUAAAGAGCUCGUAGGUGGUCUGUCGCGUCUGCUGUGAAAACUCGGGGCUUAACCCCGGGCCUGCAGUGGGUACGGGCAGACUAGAGUGCGGUAGGGGAGACUGGAAUUCCUGGUGUAGCGGUGAAAUGCGCAGAUAUCAGGAGGAACACCGGUGGCGAAGGCGGGUCUCUGGGCCGUAACUGACGCUGAGGAGCGAAAGCAUGGGGAGCGAACAGG
Molecule: ribosomal RNA, 253 nt
Filed under: uncultured bacterium
Lineage: Bacteria
Description: partial 16S ribosomal RNA
Rfam family: Bacterial small subunit ribosomal RNA
Source: RNAcentral